This 460-nucleotide ribosomal RNA is filed under the name uncultured bacterium. RNAcentral describes it as "partial 16S ribosomal RNA". It matches the Rfam family "Bacterial small subunit ribosomal RNA", at positions 338 to 795 of the family's 1533-position model. The record is from RNAcentral.
CCUACGGGAGGCUGCAGUGAGGAAUAUUGGUCAAUGGACGAGAGUCUGAACCAGCCAAGUAGCGUGAAGGAUGACUGCCCUAUGGGUUGUAAACUUCUUUUAUAUGGGAAUAAAAUGUUCCACGUGUGGGAUUUUGUAUGUACCAUAUGAAUAAGGAUUGGCUAACUCCGUGCCAGCAGCCGCGGUAAUACGGAGGAUCCGAGCGUUAUCCGGAUUUAUUGGGUUUAAAGGGAGCGUAGGUGGAUUGUUAAGUCAGUUGUGAAAGGUUGCGGCUCAACCGUAAAAUUGCAGUUGAAACUGGCAGUCUUGAGUACAGUAGAGGUGGGCGGAAUGCGUGGUGUAGCGGUGAAAUGCUUAGAUAUCACGAAGAACUCCGAUUGCGAAGGCAGCUCACUGGACUGCAACUGACACUGAGGCUCGAAAGUGUGGGUAUCAAACAGGAUUAGAUACCCUUGUAGUC